RNAcentral lists this ribosomal RNA (453 nucleotides) under uncultured Anaerolineaceae bacterium. RNAcentral's name for it is "bacterial SSU rRNA". It matches the Rfam family "Bacterial small subunit ribosomal RNA", at positions 913 to 1382 of the family's 1533-position model. The record is from RNAcentral. Lineage: Bacteria; Bacillati; Chloroflexota; Anaerolineae; Anaerolineales; Anaerolineaceae.
ACGGGGACCCGCACAAGCAGCGGAGCGUGUGGUUUAAUUCGAUGCUACACGAAGAACCUUACCAGGGUUUGACAUGCAAGUGGUAGGAAUCUGAAAGGGACCGACCUUCGGGAGCUUGCACAGGUGCUGCAUGGCCGUCGUCAGCUCGUGUCGUGAGAUGUUCGGUUAAGUCCGCUAACGAGCGCAACCCUCACUGUGUGUUAUAUGUGUCACACGGGACUGCCGGUUUUAAGCCGGAGGAAGGUGGGGAUGACGUCAAGUCAGCAUGGCCUUUAUAUCCUGGGCUACACACACGCUACAAUGGUCGGUACAAUAGGUUGCCAAGCCGCGAGGCGGAGCCAAUCCACAAAGCCGGCCUCAGUUCAGAUUGUAGGCUGCAACUCGCCUGCAUGAAGAUGGAGUUGCUAGUAACCGCAGGUCAGCAAUACUGCGGUGAAUACGUUCCCGGGUCUU